RNAcentral lists this ribosomal RNA (268 nucleotides) under uncultured prokaryote. Its description in RNAcentral is "partial 16S ribosomal RNA". It matches the Rfam family "Bacterial small subunit ribosomal RNA", at positions 524 to 792 of the family's 1533-position model. The record is from RNAcentral.
AACGUGGGUGGCAAGCGUUAUCCGGAUUUAUUGGGCGUAAAGAGGGCGCAGGCGGCUUUUCAAGUCGGAUGUAAAAUCUCCCAGCUUAACUGGGAGCGAUCGUUCGAUACUGUUAAGCUAGAGUGCAACAGGGGAAGGUAGAAUUCCCGGUGUAGUGGUGAAAUGCGUAGAUAUCGGGAGGAAUACCAGUGGCGAAGGCGCCUUCUGGGUUGUUACUGACGCUUAAGCCCGAAGGCGUGGGGAGCAAACAGGAUUAGAUACCCCCGUA